This 1393-nucleotide ribosomal RNA is filed under the name uncultured bacterium. RNAcentral's name for it is "partial 16S ribosomal RNA". It matches the Rfam family "Bacterial small subunit ribosomal RNA", at positions 20 to 1398 of the family's 1533-position model. The record is from RNAcentral.
UGGCUCAGGACGAACGCUGGCGGCAUGCCUAACACAUGCAAGUCGAACGGAGAUUAUUUCGGUAAUCUUAGUGGCGAACGGGUGAGUAACGCGUAGGCAACCUGCCCUUUAGUUGGGGACAACAUCCCGAAAGGGGUGCUAAUACCGAAUGUGAUCGCUUUCUCGCAUGAGAGAGCGAUGAAAGAUGGCCUCUAUUUAUAAGCUAUCGCUAAAGGAUGGGCCUGCGUCUGAUUAGCUAGUUGGUGGGGUAACGGCUCACCAAGGCGAUGAUCAGUAGCCGGUCUGAGAGGAUGAACGGCCACAUUGGGACUGAGACACGGCCCAGACUCCUACGGGAGGCAGCAGUGGGGAAUCUUCCGCAAUGGGCGAAAGCCUGACGGAGCAAUGCCGCGUGAGUGAUGAAGGAAUUCGUUCCGUAAAGCUCUUUUGUUUAUGACGAAUGUGCAGACUGUGAAUAAUGGUUUGUAAUGACGGUAGUAAACGAAAAAGCAACGGCUAACUACGUGCCAGCAGCCGCGGUAAUACGUAGGUUGCAAGCGUUGUCCGGAUUUACUGGGUGUAAAGGGCGUGUAGGCGGAGCUGCAAGUCAGAUGUGAAAUCCCGGGGCUCAACCCCGGAACUGCAUUUGAAACUGUAGCCCUUGAGUAUCGGAGAGGCAAGCGGAAUUCCUAGUGUAGCGGUGAAAUGCGUAGAUAUUAGGAGGAACACCAGUGGCGAAGGCGGCUUGCUGGACGACAACUGACGCUGAGGCGCGAAAGCGUGGGGAGCAAACAGGAUUAGAUACCCUGGUAGUCCACGCUGUAAACGAUGAAUACUAGGUGUGGGAGGACUGACCCCUUCCGUGCCGCAGUUAACACAAUAAGUAUUCCACCUGGGGAGUACGACCGCAAGACUGAAACUCAAAGGAAUUGACGGGGGCCCGCACAAGCAGUGGAUUAUGUGGUUUAAUUCGACGCAACGCGAAGAACCUUACCAGGAUUUGACAUCCAACUAACGAAGCAGAGAUGCAUUAGGUGCCCUUCGGGGAAAGUUGAGACAGGUGGUGCAUGGUUGUCGUCAGCUCGUGUCGUGAGAUGUUGGGUUAAGUCCCGCAACGAGCGCAACCCCUAUUGUUAGUUGCUACGCGAGAGCACUCUAGCGAGACUGCCGUUGACAAAACGGAGGAAGGCGGGGACGACGUCAAAUCAUCAUGCCCCUUAUGUCCUGGGCUACACACGUAAUACAAUGGCCGUCAACAAAGGGAAGCGAAGCCGCGAGGUGGAGCAAACCCCCAAAAACGGUCUCAGUUCGGAUUGCAGGCUGCAACUCGCCUGCAUGAAGCUGGAAUUGCUAGUAAUCGUGGAUCAGCAUGCCACGGUGAAUACGUUCCCGGGCCUUGUACACACCGCCCGUA